UUUAUUUUUAUUUUUUAUCCUUUGGAUAAUAUUUUAGAAGGGUUCACUUUGUAGGUUAUUAGUUAUUUAACAGUUGAAAUUAUUGAAUGUGCUUUUGUAGUAAUUUGUUCAUAACUUUGGCCUUGUUUUCUGCUGGUUUUUCUGAUGCCUGUUGCAAAUUUUCAUUAAUUUAUAGGUCAUGUUUAAGUGUGGUUUUAACAUGUAUUAGAGGCAUCAAUAUUAGCAGAAUAAUAAGUUGCUUGACCUGGGAGCCUUGGACAAUGAUGUGUGUGUUUAAGUGCACAAAUAACACUACAUAAUUAGAUUGGUAGGGACAUGUGGUUUCAACUUUCAAGAGUGAACAACUUUACUGGGAGCAUUUGUAUGCAACUUUAAAAGGAACAUGUGUAUGCACAUAUUUGAGCUUUAAGUAGAAGCCACUGAAAUGGAUACUUCCUGGAAUUGUACGCAUAUAGGGUAAGUGUAUAAGCCCCUUCCCUUACCCAACAACAAACUGCAAAAUUUUUGUGUGAGCUUUUCUUAUUCCUUUGUUCCUUCAUUUGUUCUUCACAGUACCACUAUUAAAAUCCAUCCUCCUAUACCGAUUCAAUUAUUGAACAUGAUCUCCUUAAGAGGUGAAAUUAUGGUUUUCUCCUAAAGAGGAAUGAGGCUGGAGGAAAAAGUUAGUUCAAAUAUUAAAAGUACAUUUUCCACAG
RNAcentral lists this unclassified non-coding RNA (695 nucleotides) under Hevea brasiliensis (rubber tree). The record is from RNAcentral. Lineage: Eukaryota; Viridiplantae; Streptophyta; Magnoliopsida; Malpighiales; Euphorbiaceae.